RNAcentral lists this ribosomal RNA (253 nucleotides) under uncultured bacterium. RNAcentral describes it as "partial 16S ribosomal RNA". It matches the Rfam family "Bacterial small subunit ribosomal RNA", at positions 524 to 776 of the family's 1533-position model. The record is from RNAcentral.
UACGAAGGGGGCUAGCGUUGAUCGGAAUCACUGGGCGUAAAGCGCACGUAGGCGGGUCCUUAAGUCCGGGGUGAAAUCCCGGAGCUCAACUCCGGAACUGCCUUUGAUACUGGGGAUCUUGAGUCCGGAAGAGGUGAGUGGAACUCCGAGUGUAGAGGUGAAAUUCGUAGAUAUUCGGAAGAACACCAGUGGCGAAGGCGGCUCACUGGUCCGGUACUGACGCUGAGGUGCGAAAGCGUGGGGAGCAAACAGG